Molecule: long non-coding RNA, 444 nt
Organism: Bos taurus (domestic cattle)
Lineage: Eukaryota; Metazoa; Chordata; Mammalia; Artiodactyla; Bovidae
Source: Ensembl
GUUAAAAAUCUGAAAAUUAGAAUAUGUGCUCUCAGCAAGAGUAUCUUCUAAAUAAUCAUUCAGCAUGAAACUUGAGCCCCAUAAGCUGAAAAUUACACUCAAGACUUUCCUGAGAAAUGCUCCCCAGUGACAUAUUUAUUUAACCCCCCUUCGAUGAGUCAUUGAUUCCAGGUAAAUCAGAGGAACAGACAUCAUGAACAGAAAUAAUACAGGAAGUGAUGUGAUGCCGAAGUUUAACUGUUGUUCCAGAAGUCCAGCAUCUGUGGCUCAUAACUUUAGGAACUGUAUCAUUUGCAAGGUCACCUAACUUUUACUCAUAUUGGGUUGGCCAGAAAGUUCACUCAGUUUUCCUGUAAGCUGAGAGAACCCGCACGGACUUUUUGGCCAACCCAAUACAGUAAGUUUUGUUUGUUUGUUUUUGUUUUUUUUUAAAUAAAUAUUGAC